AACGAACGCUGGCGGCAGGCCUAACACUUGCAAGUCGAACGAAGUCUUCGGACUUAGUGGCGCACGGGUGAGUAACACGUGGGAAUAUACCUUACGCUGGGGGAUAACAUCGGGAAACUGAUGCUAAUACCGCAUACGCCCUUCGGGGGAAAGAUUUAUCGGCGAAAGAUUAGCCCGCGUCCGAUUAGCUAGUUGGUGAGGUAAUGGCUCACCAAGGCUCCGAUCGGUAGCUGGUCUGAGAGGAUGACCAGCCACACUGGGACUGAGACACGGCCCAGACUCCUACGGGAGGCAGCAGUGGGGAAUAUUGGACAAUGGGCGCAAGCCUGAUCCAGCCAUGCCGCGUGAGUGAUGAAGGCCUUAGGGUUGUAAAGCUCUUUCACCCACGACGAUGAUGACGGUAGUGGGAGAAGAAGCCCCGGCUAACUUCGUG
RNAcentral lists this ribosomal RNA (433 nucleotides) under uncultured bacterium. RNAcentral's name for it is "partial 16S ribosomal RNA". It matches the Rfam family "Bacterial small subunit ribosomal RNA", at positions 29 to 507 of the family's 1533-position model. The record is from RNAcentral.